UAAGCUUUGAUCCAGAGAUUUCCGAAUGGGGAAACCCAGCAUGAGUUAUGUCAUGUUAUCGAUAUGUGAAUACAUAGCAUAUCAGAAGGCACACCCGGAGAACUGAAACAUCUUAGUACCCGGAGGAAGAGAAAGAAAAUUCGAUUCCCUUAGUAGCGGCGAGCGAAACGGGAAGAGCCCAAACCAACAAGCUUGCUUGUUGGGGUUGUAGGACACUCUAUACGGAGUUACAAAGGACGACAUUAGACGAAUCAUCUGGAAAGAUGAAUCAAAGAAGGUAAUAAUCCUGUAGUCGAAAAUGUUGUCUCUCUUGAGUGGAUCCUGAGUACGACGGAGCACGUGAAAUUCCGUCGGAAUCUGGGAGGACCAUCUCCUAAGGCUAAAUACUCUCUAGUGACCGAUAGUGAACCAGUACCGUGAGGGAAAGGUGAAAAGCACCCCGGAAGGGGAGUGAAAUAGAACCUGAAACCGUGUGCUUACAAGUAGUCAGAGCCCGUUAAUGGGUGAUGGCGUGCCUUUUGUAGAAUGAACCGGCGAGUUACGAUUUGAUGCAAGGUUAAGCAGUAAAUGUGGAGCCGUAGCGAAAGCGAGUCUGAAUAGGGCGUUUAGUAUUUGGUCGUAGACCCGAAACCAGGUGAUCUACCCUUGGUCAGGUUGAAGUUCAGGUAACACUGAAUGGAGGACCGAACCGACUUACGUUGAAAAGUGAGCGGAUGAACUGAGGGUAGCGGAGAAAUUCCAAUCGAACCUGGAGAUAGCUGGUUCUCUCCGAAAUAGCUUUAGGGCUAGCCUCAAGUGAUGAUUAUUGGAGGUAGAGCACUGUUUGGACGAGGGGCCCCUCUCGGGUUACCGAAUUCAGACAAACUCCGAAUGCCAAUUAAUUUAACUUGGGAGUCAGAACAUGGGUGAUAAGGUCCGUGUUCGAAAGGGAAACAGCCCAGACCACCAGCUAAGGUCCCAAAAUAUAUGUUAAGUGGAAAAGGAUGUGGCGUUGCCCAGACAACUAGGAUGUUGGCUUAGAAGCAGCCAUCAUUUAAAGAGUGCGUAAUAGCUCACUAGUCGAGUGACACUGCGCCGAAAAUGUACCGGGGCUAAACAUAUUACCGAAGCUGUGGAUUGUCCUUUGGACAAUGGUAGGAGAGCGUUCUAAGGGCGUUGAAGCAUGAUCGUAAGGACAUGUGGAGCGCUUAGAAGUGAGAAUGCCGGUGUGAGUAGCGAAAGACGGGUGAGAAUCCCGUCCACCGAUUGACUAAGGUUUCCAGAGGAAGGCUCGUCCGCUCUGGGUUAGUCGGGUCCUAAGCUGAGGCCGACAGGCGUAGGCGAUGGAUAACAGGUUGAUAUUCCUGUACCACCUAUAAUCGUUUUAAUCGAUGGGGGGACGCAGUAGGAUAGGCGAAGCGUGCGAUUGGAUUGCACGUCUAAGCAGUAAGGCUGAGUAUUAGGCAAAUCCGGUACUCGUUAAGGCUGAGCUGUGAUGGGGAGAAGACAUUGUGUCUUCGAGUCGUUGAUUUCACACUGCCGAGAAAAGCCUCUAGAUAGAAAAUAGGUGCCCGUACCGCAAACCGACACAGGUAGUCAAGAUGAGAAUUCUAAGGUGAGCGAGCGAACUCUCGUUAAGGAACUCGGCAAAAUGACCCCGUAACUUCGGGAGAAGGGGUGCUCUUUAGGGUUAACGCCCAGAAGAGCCGCAGUGAAUAGGCCCAAGCGACUGUUUAUCAAAAACACAGGUCUCUGCUAAACCGUAAGGUGAUGUAUAGGGGCUGACGCCUGCCCGGUGCUGGAAGGUUAAGAGGAGUGGUUAGCUUCUGCGAAGCUACGAAUCGAAGCCCCAGUAAACGGCGGCCGUAACUAUAACGGUCCUAAGGUAGCGAAAUUCCUUGUCGGGUAAGUUCCGACCCGCACGAAAGGCGUAACGAUUUGGGCACUGUCUCAACGAGAGACUCGGUGAAAUCAUAGUACCUGUGAAGAUGCAGGUUACCCGCGACAGGACGGAAAGACCCCGUGGAGCUUUACUGUAGCCUGAUAUUGAAAUUCGGCACAGCUUGUACAGGAUAGGUAGGAGCCUUUGAAACGUGAGCGCUAGCUUACGUGGAGGCGCUGGUGGGAUACUACCCUAGCUGUGUUGGCUUUCUAACCCGCACCACUUAUCGUGGUGGGAGACAGUGUCAGGCGGGCAGUUUGACUGGGGCGGUCGCCUCCUAAAAGGUAACGGAGGCGCUCAAAGGUUCCCUCAGAAUGGUUGGAAAUCAUUCAUAGAGUGUAAAGGCAUAAGGGAGCUUGACUGCGAGACCUACAAGUCGAGCAGGGUCGAAAGACGGACUUAGUGAUCCGGUGGUUCCGCAUGGAAGGGCCAUCGCUCAACGGAUAAAAGCUACCCCGGGGAUAACAGGCUUAUCUCCCCCAAGAGUUCACAUCGACGGGGAGGUUUGGCACCUCGAUGUCGGCUCAUCGCAUCCUGGGGCUGUAGUCGGUCCCAAGGGUUGGGCUGUUCGCCCAUUAAAGCGGUACGCGAGCUGGGUUCAGAACGUCGUGAGACAGUUCGGUCCCUAUCCGUCGUGGGCGUAGGAAAUUUGAGAGGAGCUGUCCUUAGUACGAGAGGACCGGGAUGGACAUACCUCUGGUGUACCAGUUGUCGUGCCAACGGCAUAGCUGGGUAGCUAUGUGUGGACGGGAUAAGUGCUGAAAGCAUCUAAGCAUGAAGCCCCCCUCAAGAUGAGAUUUCCCAACUUCGGUUAUAAGAUCCCUCAAAGAUGAUGAGGUUAAUAGGUUCGAGGUGGAAGCAUGGUGACAUGUGGAGCUGACGAAUACUAAUCGAUCGAAGACUUAAUCAA
RNAcentral lists this ribosomal RNA (2831 nucleotides) under Staphylococcus aureus. RNAcentral describes it as "partial 23S ribosomal RNA". It matches the Rfam family "Bacterial large subunit ribosomal RNA". The record is from RNAcentral. Lineage: Bacteria; Bacillati; Bacillota; Bacilli; Caryophanales; Staphylococcaceae.